CCUGGCGGCUCAGAGGGUAAAGCGUCUGCCUGCAAUGCAGGAGAACUGGGUUCGAUCCCUGGGUCGGGA
Molecule: transfer RNA, 69 nt
Organism: Ovis aries (sheep)
Lineage: Eukaryota; Metazoa; Chordata; Mammalia; Artiodactyla; Bovidae
Rfam family: tRNA
About the family: Transfer RNA (tRNA) molecules are approximately 80 nucleotides in length.
Source: Rfam